CAAGGAUUCCURUAGUAGCGGCGAGCGAAGAAGGAACAGCCCCGAGUGUAAUCACCUAAUUAAUAUAGAGUGAGAUGUCAUWAAUCUAUAGAACGAUGUUGAAACUUCGGCCUGAGAGGGUGAUAGCCCCGUAAAAUAGAUGUAACAMGGGAGUAGCAGUGUUUGGUAUUGCACUGUGAAAGGGUGGCAGCGCCCAUCCAAGGCUAAAUACAAAGCGAGACCGAUAGUGAAUAAGUAGAGCGAUCGAAAAACGAAUAGACUG
Molecule: ribosomal RNA, 262 nt
Filed under: Loma pacificodae
Lineage: Eukaryota; Fungi; Microsporidia; Glugeidae
Description: partial small subunit ribosomal RNA
Rfam family: Archaeal large subunit ribosomal RNA
Source: RNAcentral